GGCACUGUGGCUGAGUGGUACAGCGUUUGGCUUCCAAACCGAAGGUCUGGGUUCAAAUCCUGGUGAAGACU
Molecule: transfer RNA, 71 nt
Filed under: Biomphalaria glabrata
Lineage: Eukaryota; Metazoa; Mollusca; Gastropoda; Planorbidae
Rfam family: tRNA
About the family: Transfer RNA (tRNA) molecules are approximately 80 nucleotides in length. Their secondary structure includes four short double-helical elements and three loops (D, anti-codon, and T loops). Further hydrogen bonds mediate the characteristic L-shaped molecular structure. tRNAs have two regions of fundamental functional importance: the anti-codon, which is responsible for specific mRNA codon recognition, and the 3' end, to which the tRNAs corresponding amino acid is attached (by aminoacyl-tRNA synthetases). tRNAs cope with the degeneracy of the genetic code in two manners: having more than one tRNA (with a specific anti-codon) for a particular amino acid; and 'wobble' base-pairing, i.e. permitting non-standard base-pairing at the 3rd anti-codon position.
Source: Rfam by way of RNAcentral